Non-coding RNA from Acetobacter sp. CAG:267, 95 nucleotides. The record is from Rfam. Lineage: Bacteria; Pseudomonadati; Pseudomonadota; Alphaproteobacteria; Acetobacterales; Acetobacteraceae.
UAUGAAGGGUACAGGGUUGUUUUGCUGCCAACCCGGUCAGGUUCGGAAGAAAGCAGCCGUAACAGUUAAAACAAGGUCUGUAUCCCUUCGCCUCA